Molecule: ribosomal RNA, 1239 nt
Filed under: Triticum aestivum (bread wheat)
Lineage: Eukaryota; Viridiplantae; Streptophyta; Magnoliopsida; Poales; Poaceae
Description: partial small subunit ribosomal RNA
Source: RNAcentral
AUGGAGAUGGUCCUCGCCGCCGCAGCAAACUGUACCGGUGCCUUGUCGUCCAACCACCCCAAAACGUUCCUCAAAUCGCGUCGAUCCUCGCUCCAAAUGCGGGCCUGCAGAUCGGGCCCCGCUGCGCCGCUCGCCGUGUCGUCCGCCGCCGCGCCGGAGGAGCCGCGCCCGGUGCGCCUGGGCAUCAUGGGCUGCGGCUCCAUCCCGCGCAAGGUCGCGCGCUCAAUGCUGCUCGUCCCCGCCGCCGACGUGGCCGCCGUCGCCAGCCGCUCCGAGGGCAAGGCGCGCCUCUUCGCCGCCGACAACGGCCUCCGGAGCGGCACGCGCAUCCACGGCUCCUACGAGGCGCUCCUCGACGACCCGGACGUCGACGCCGUCUACAUGCCGCUCCCCACCAGCCUCCACGUCAAGUGGGCGACCGCCGCCGCCGAGCGGGGCAAGCACCUGCUCCUCGAGAAGCCCACCGCGCCCUGCGCCGCCGACCUCGAGCCCAUCCUCGCCGCCUGCGAGGCCAACGGCGUGCAGUUCAUGGACUCCACCAUGUGGAUGCACCACCCCCGCACUGCCAAGAUGCGUCAGCUCGUGGCCGAUCAGGACACAAUCGGAGACGUCAGAUUUAUAAACACCAUGGUCAGCUUCCUAGCAAACGAAGAUUUCCUCCAGAAUGACAUCAGGGUGAAGCCAGACCUUGACGGCCUGGGUGUGCUCGGUGAUAUCGGGUGGUACUGCAUCCGUGGAAUCCUGUGGGCGGUUGACUAUGAGCUGCCCAAGAAUGUGGUUGCUCUCCGUCACCCUGUCAAGAACCAAGCCGGCGUGCUCCUUGCUUGCGGCGCGUCGCUCUACUGGGCCGACGGCAAGGUCGCCACCUUCCACUGUUCUUUCCUUACCAACCUGACCAUGGACCUCACCGUCGUCGGCACCAACGGUACUAUUCAUGUCACCGACUUGGUCAUCCCGUACGAAGAGAAGUCUGCUCCGUUCAGCGUCGACUCCAAGACAAACUUCGCCGAACUCUCUACCGGAUGGGAUCCACAUCCGAGCAAGCAUGUUGUCACCACGGACCUACCCCAGGAGGGGCUCAUGGUCCAGGAGUUCUGUAGGCUGGUGCAGGGCAUCAGAGAUGCCGGUGUCAAGCCUGAGGGGAAGUGGCCGGGCAUCACCCGGAAGACACAGAUUGUCGUGGAUGCAGUGAAGGCUUCUAUUGACAACGGAUUUGAGUCCGUCGAUGUUGCCAGCUAA